Molecule: ribosomal RNA, 509 nt
Filed under: uncultured bacterium
Lineage: Bacteria
Description: bacterial SSU rRNA
Rfam family: Bacterial small subunit ribosomal RNA
Source: RNAcentral
AGAGUUUGAUUAUGGCUCAGGACGAACGCUGGCGGCAUGCCUAACACAUGCAAGUCGAACGGAAUAAGAAUGGUUGUAGCGAUACUUCGUUCUUAUUAGUGGCGAACGGGUGAGUAACACGUGAGCAACCUGCCUUCUACACAGGGAUAACAGCCGGAAACGGCUGCUAAUACCGGAUAAGACCACACCGAGGCAUCUCGGAGGGGUCAAAGCGAUUUAGCGGUAGAAGAUGGGCUCGCGUCCCAUUAGCUAGUUGGUGAGAUAACAGCCCACCAAGGCGACGAUGGGUAGCCGACUUGAGAGAGUGAUCGGCCACAUUGGAACUGAGACACGGUCCAGACUCCUUCGGGAGGCAGCAGUGGGGAAUAUUGGGCAAUGGAAGGAAACUCUUACCCAGCAACGCCGCGUGAGUGAAGAAGGCCUUCGGGUUGUAAAGCUCUGUUAUAGGGGACGAAGGAAGUGACGGUACCCUAUAAGGAAGCCCCGGCUAACUACGUGCCAGCCGCCGC